This is a non-coding RNA of Lactuca sativa (garden lettuce), 2507 nucleotides long. NCBI's taxonomy places the organism in Eukaryota, Viridiplantae, Streptophyta, Magnoliopsida, Asterales, Asteraceae. The record is from RefSeq and is a predicted model, not a curated record.
CCUAGAUCUCGAUACCCCAAUGCUUGUGAGCCAUUUUUAAGUUAACCUUAUGUGAUUUGAAGCUUGUAUUCAAGAGGAGAUUGUAGAUCCACAAGCAACGUCUUAUCAUCAUCCUUUUCUGGUAAUAAAGCCUCUAGUCUCUUAGAUCUCCUUAUGUUCACUAAUGAGGGUUUUGGUCCAUUAGCUAGACUGAAGGUGGACACGUGUUUUUCUAUCUUCUCUUCACCGCUAUCAUUUGGAUCAGUGUCUUCUCCACCGUUUUACCAAGACAUCAGAUAUACUCAACAAACAUCAUCGUCUUCCAUCCUUCCAGAACUCUCUCUAUCCCUCUCGCCAUUAUUGUUUUCUUCCACAAGAUUUUUUGCUUUUUCGACCACUCUGCUUCAUCUUUCCACUUCUUCUGAGUCGUCAUUGGGUUUUGGCGAAAUGAUGGUCGACCGGUGGAUAGUAGGGUUUUUCGGGUGGGUGCUUGGCUUGCAAUUUUGGGUCGGCUGACUUGCUGGUUCAAAUACUGGUACCAGAAGUUUACCCAAGUUGAAACGUGCAUCAUCAACAUCAUGCUUCUCCUCCUGCCUUCAUUUAUAUUAAAUAUCACCAUCGUCUAUCGCUAUCAACGCCACCGCCACCAGACCUCUUUCCCUUGCUCCACAUCCAGGGAUGUCUUCUUCCGACACCUUUUUGCUAUUAUCGCCUAUUAUCAACUUCCAGAUGUCGGAAUAUAAGCAGGUCCAAACCAGACUUCGUCAACGACUCCGACACUUAUGACUCAAUCAUGUUCUGAUUUUAGCUUAUCCACUGACGGUAGAUGUGGGAGGCCACCGGUCGAUUGGGGAUGAACAAUGGUGGCAGGCUGAGAUAAGUUCUCUAUUGAAAGAAAUUAAGCCUCUGAAUCACGAAAUUGAGGAGUUGUAACGUGUAAUAGUGUGCCACGAAGUGAAGUUACUGCCGGUCCUUGAGCCCAAUAAAACUGAAGUGAUAAAACUUGUCUCCUCACAAUAUAUGGUUCUUCAACUUUAGAUUUUUUCACCAACGAUGGCAUACACGGUAUUGUUAAACUUUUAUGGGUAGAAGGGAUUAUUCUAGGGUGUUUCUACUUCAUCCCUAUCAUAAUCUACUUCAUUGUUUGAUCUCCUUCUUCCUUUGUAUGUGUUUGUAUGCUUUCUUCGAAUAGCCUUGUAUGAAUAUGUAUAUGUAUCUUCUUUUUCAACCAAUAUGGUUCUUUAUCUAUUCAUUAUGAACUCAUAAAAUCUAUUCAUUGAUUUUUUUUUAGCUUUUGACAGUUGUUGAUGCUCCUUGUGAUAGAGUAAAGGAAGUUAUAUGAAUCAGAGAUGGAGUUCAAUUAGGUUCCAUACGAAAUUUUGGUAUCAAGAUUGACAUAUUGCAGUGCAUUGAUGUUGAAUCCAUCUAAGUUUAUCAUCUAAUUCAUUCACUUUUGGCUCAUUCUGAUUUACUUUUUUUCUUCAAUAAAGGUAACAUCUCUAUAAUACCAUACCCCCAACAGAAACUAACUGUCAUGAAAAAAAAGUAAUAAUUGAUCUAAAAUAAGUUUUAUAUUAAAGUAUAAGAUGAGUUAUAUGAUACAGUGCAAAGCAUUUCAAAAGUUUAAAUUAACACUAAACUGCCUUUUGAUAUACACAUACAAGUCAAUUCCUUGAACUUUUCACUUAUUUGACAAUAUUACCCCUCAUUAUUCCAGGCCUCACCCGAAUUACAUCCUUCAAAAUGUUUAUGGUGGCUUUUCAGCAAAUCCGUAUGGGGAUCAAAUUAGAUCUAAUUUUUUUGUUUUUUUUCAUUAAUUUGAUUUAAUUUAAAAAAUGUUUAUCAUGUAAACAACUAAUGAUAUAUGGAAGGAGGCCAGUCCCAGGGGGUAUGUAGAUGAUUCCAAAGGUUUUAACAAUGGUCAAAUAUGAUAUGUUUUGUAAGUUGCACUUUUCUGUAAACUCAUUUUGGUCAUUUACUUUGUUAAUUAGAUUUAUCAUCUAUGUUGUGGGAUUUCUGCAAGAAAUGGCCUGGAGCACAGAUGCCAACUGUUAGGCCGCCCCGAAGAAACCAACGCAACAGCAGCAAUAAUGGCUCAAACAGAGCAUGGUGGUAGAGCACUAUCGGCCAAUAUUAAGUGGUGGUGGUGGUGGCACUGUGUGAACUUCUAUAGAUGGGAUAGAUUUUCCAUGAAGGUUGGACACCUCCACCCUACCCCCACCUUAUUUAUAAAGAUAAAACAGAAAAAAAUGAAAUGAUUAAUGUAGAAGGGUGUUGGGGAGGUGUUUAAAUUCCUACAAGAAAGAUUUCACAGAAGUUUAUUGGUUAUUACAUUUCUAUUGCUUUGCAUUUAGAUCAAUGGAGUCUUGCAAGGAGUAGGAGAGCUUAAAGAAAAUGUGCCCAUGUUACCUAAUUCGUAAGACCUAAGUUGGUAUUUUUAACGGUUGCAACCUAUUUUUUGCAAGUGUUGUAUUUUAUAAAAAUAUUUACUAAUUACAUAAUUCCAUUUAUAAUUUGUAUUCGUAUAA